RNAcentral lists this long non-coding RNA (435 nucleotides) under Manihot esculenta (cassava). Its description in RNAcentral is "long non-coding RNA (MESC_LNC002883)". Lineage: Eukaryota; Viridiplantae; Streptophyta; Magnoliopsida; Malpighiales; Euphorbiaceae. The record is from RNAcentral.
UUUUUCUUAAGUUUAUGCGAUUUCUCCUUUCAGUUUUCUUUUAGUUUGUUUUCAUUUUUGCUUUCAAUAACACACACAACCACAAUCUUCUUCUUUUUGAUUUGCUCUGCUCAAACUGAUAGACUAUGUUAGAUGAGCUUUUCUUUCUAUGACCCCAUUGAUGUGAUGACUCUUUAAACUUAUGUUGAAUCAAUUGCAGUGAGUUGUAUUCAUGUUUGAGAAUUACCUUUUGAAUUGAAUCUUUGAGCUUGCCAUGGUGAAAAAUGUAUUGAUGACACUCAUUAGAGAGAAUGAAUUGAAAUUGUGUGAAUGAACUUAACAUGACUUGUUUUAGCAAUUGGUGUUGAUUUGCCCAAUGCAUUGAUUAAAGGAAUUCAGCAAAGGCUUAGACUUCAUGAGCACAAAUUGAGAACUGUUCCAAUGGUUGAAAGACUA